GAAAUGCGAUAAGUAGUGUGAAUUGCAGAAUUCAGUGAAUCAUCGAAUCUUUGAACGCACAUUGCGCCCCUUGGUAUUCCAUGGGGCAUGCCUGUUCGAGCGUCAUUUGUACCCUCAAGCUCUGCUUGGUGUUGGGUGUUUGUCCCCGUCUCCGCGCGUGGACUCGCCCCAAAGUGAUUGGCAGCCGGCGUACUGGUCCCGGAGCGCAGCACAUGUCGCGCAAACGAGUGCCUUGGUACGGCGGCGUCCAUAAGCCCCUCUCUCACGCUCUUGACCUUGGAUCAGGUAGGGAUACCCGCUGAACUUAAGC
Molecule: unclassified non-coding RNA, 310 nt
Filed under: plant metagenome
Description: partial contains 5.8S ribosomal RNA, internal transcribed spacer 2, and large subunit ribosomal RNA
Rfam family: 5.8S ribosomal RNA (bases 1-105)
Source: RNAcentral